GUGGGGAAUCUUCCGCAAUGGACGAAAGUCUGACGGAGCGACGCCGCGUGAGUGAAGAAGGCCUUCGGGUCGUAAAGCUCUGUCAUCAGGGACGAACGGCCGGUGGAGUGGAAAGCCACCGGAUUGACGGUACCUGAGAAGGAAGCCACGGCUAACUACGUGCCAGCAGCCGCGGUAAUACGUAGGUGGCAAGCGUUGUCCGGAAUUAUUGGGCGUAAAGCGCGCGCAGGUGGGAUCUUAAGUCCAUUUUGAAAGUUCGGGGCUCAACGCCGUGAUGGGAUGGAAACUGGGAUUCUUGAGUACCGGAGAGGAAAGCGGAAUUCCCCGUGUAGCGGUGAAAUGCGUAGAUAUGGGGAGGAACACCAGUGGCGAAGGCGGCUUUCUGGACGGUGUCUGACACUGAGGCGCGAAAGCCAGGGGAGCGAACGGGAUUAGAAACCCUGGUAGUCC
This 450-nucleotide ribosomal RNA is filed under the name uncultured bacterium. RNAcentral's name for it is "partial 16S ribosomal RNA". It matches the Rfam family "Bacterial small subunit ribosomal RNA", at positions 354 to 796 of the family's 1533-position model. The record is from RNAcentral.